AAGGAUAUUACUCAGACCAAGGAUGGUAACCUGAUGGUCACAGGACAGUGGUUUUACCGACCUGAGGAAGCAAUAAAAAGAGCUGGUGGAAAUUGGCAAUCACGGGACACGAGGGAAUUGUUCUAUAGUUUUCACCGAGAUGCGGUCCCAGCGGAGUCGGUCAUGCACAAGUGUGUGGUGCACUUCAUACCAUUAAACAAGGAGAUCCCUAGACGGAAAGAGCAUCCUGGUUUUAUUGUUCAGA
RNAcentral lists this unclassified non-coding RNA (244 nucleotides) under Hevea brasiliensis (rubber tree). Lineage: Eukaryota; Viridiplantae; Streptophyta; Magnoliopsida; Malpighiales; Euphorbiaceae. The record is from RNAcentral.